Molecule: small nuclear RNA, 189 nt
Organism: Nannospalax galili (Upper Galilee mountains blind mole rat)
Lineage: Eukaryota; Metazoa; Chordata; Mammalia; Rodentia; Spalacidae
Gene: U2
Rfam family: U2 spliceosomal RNA
About the family: U2 is a small nuclear RNA (snRNA) component of the spliceosome (involved in pre-mRNA splicing). Complementary binding between U2 snRNA (in an area lying towards the 5' end but 3' to hairpin I) and the branchpoint sequence (BPS) of the intron results the bulging out of an unpaired adenosine, on the BPS, which initiates a nucleophilic attack at the intronic 5' splice site, thus starting the first of two transesterification reactions that mediate splicing.
Source: Ensembl
GUGUCUUCUGGGCCUGUUGGCUAAGAUCAAAUAUAGUAUCUGUUCUCAUCAGUUUACUAUUUGAUACGUCCUCUAUUCACGGAUAGUAUAUGAAAUGGGUAUUUGGAGGCGGGACAUGGAAUAGGAGCUUGCUUUGUCCACUCCACGCAUUGACCUGGUAUUAUUAUCUCCAGGAACGAGGAACUGUGC